UGAGGACGAGAAUUCCUGCUUCAGGACCAACCCGGGAGAGCCUGGCUCCGGGACACUGUGGGUCACCCCUCAGGGAGGGGCAAAACUGCCUUCUCAGAGCAGCGGGAGGGAGAUGUCUGGCUUGGGGACACUCAGAGUUCCCUUGUCCGCAGGGCUGCUUAAGGCAAACACCUGGUUCAGGGACACUGUGGGUCAGGUCUCUAGGGACACCCGGGCUCCUUUCUCCUCAGAGCUGCCUCAGGCAGAUACCUGGUUCAGGGACACUGUGGAUCAUGUUUCUAGGGAUGCCCAGAGAGUGGUUGCAGUCCCAUGUAAACAACAGGGCCCCAUCCAGGAUCCCAAAUGAUAUCCAGUCAACAUGUCUCUGUAGACUCCUCUUGGGGUGACAGUUUCUCUGAACUUCCUUGUCCAGUGACCUCGGCACCAUGGGGAGGACCUGUCAGACUGAGUGAGAGUACAGAGCAGAGACAGCCCAGCACAGGGCAGUUUCCCACUGGGUGAUGCUAAAGCCCUGUGAGCACCUAGUGCGGGGAGAUCCUGCUCUCAGGGGGACCAGAGCAGCCAUCCGACCACCUCACCACGCAGCUCUUGCAUGUGUAAUAAUUUGUUUAAAGUUAGAAGCUGUGUUACUGACCAAGACCUGUGAUCACGACUGUAGUCCUGAUGUAAGCAAAUGGUCAGGUAUUUUUUAGAUUGUUCUACUUUGGGGUUUACUUGUUUUCCCUCACAUUUAGACUUGCGCCAUGUGUCUGGGGGAAGCAGUCACAGAGGUAGAGAGCUGCUCUGUCAUCUCAAGCCCUCAAGGUGAAUGUUAUUUUAGUACGAGGGUGCUCAGCUGGCUGGGGGAGUGCCUUUCAUGUUUCCUUGUUUUUCUUGUAUUUAGCCUAGGGCUGUGAAUCUGGGGGAAGCAGGUCACAGAGGUGGACAAUGCUUUGUCAUUUCAGACCCUCAAGGUGAAUGUCAUGUUAGUAAUAACUGUGCUCACAUGGCUGAGAUAGUACCUUUCAAGUUUCUCUCUGUCGAGUUACUAUUCUCUGCAUGUCCACAUUGUCUGUGUUUUCUGGAGGAAGUCAUUUUACGGGGCCCACACUUAAGGAACAGGGAGUUACCUUCACCUCCUCAAUGGCCUUGUCUGCCUUAGUUAUUUGGUAUGCAUCUACACAAGAGGUUUCUGCACAAGAGAAUUGCAUAUUGUAAAUAAUUUAUCUCAAUCUAUAGCUUUUCUUUUUGUUCUCUUUCACAGAGUAUAAAAUUUAUUUUUUUCAUGUUGCCGCAGUCUGGCUGGGCACAAAAUAACUGAGCCACCACGAGGCACUUGUAGGUUCAAACAGGAACUACUUUAUUGCCAGAACCCCACCAGAACACUCCCCAACUCCUCAGAAAACCCAUGAGAACCAACGGGAACUCCACGGGAACUCUGCGAGAACUCAACGGGAACUCAACGAGAACUCCACAAGAACUCAAAAGUAGUGGGCACUCGAGAUAGCAGGAGCCGCCCCACUGCUGGACAGCAGAGGUUUAUAUAUACAACUGAAUAUGCUGGCAUUACUUCUCAACCACUCCUUCUGGCAAAAUGCCAGGCGCCAUCCCGACCUGGUUGUGGCUCUCAACAUCUCCCCCCUUCUGUGUAAUUAAACAAGCAUGUGGCUUAGGGACAGUGCCUGUCUUAGGUUGUCCAAUACUACAUAUGGUCCUUACCCGUCAUCGGAUGAGCUGACCUCAAGGUGUCAGCCUCCUGUCUUAGGUUGGUACCAUUGUAAUUGGAUCUUACCCAUCAUUGACUACCGGCCCAGCAUUUUUAGCCACACUUGUGGAUACAAACACCAUAAACAAUCUGCUACAAGCAGAAGGGGAGGAUACAAAAUGCCACAACAACAAGCCAAUUGAUGGCUCCUUUUGGAAAAAUUGUACCACCUAUGACACCAUUGGCAAAGAUACCCCAGCACCACCACUAUUUGCUGCACUAACAGAUAGUUCACAAUGCAUACAAGUGAUACAUAGUCCAGGCAAGUUCUGCAAGUAGUUCAAAGUAGAGGAAUCUAUUAAUAUGUCCAUUUCCUCCCAAAGUAAAUAGACUCCUUGAUUGAGUAUCACUUGUUGAGUUACAUUAUUCAUUGAUGUAUCAGUUUAUACAGUUUGUUGUGAUAGCCAUUGCAGAAGCUGUACUUUGGUUUUAUCUUUGUCUUUACCGGCACUGGGAUGAAGAUAGGAAUUCUGGCAAUGAUGGCUAAAAAAAAAUUAUGUAACAUUAGCAGGCACUAAAAGAAAGCAAUUUUCUAAACAAUUUAGUAUCCUGAAUAGAAUUAGAUAUAAUGAAAAGGAAAGGUGAAAGUAAACAAACAGAUCUGUUAACCUCCUUUUUUGUUCACAUAUUAAAACAAUCCUCAACAGCUGUUUACCCAAUUUAAAUUAAACCAUUUAAAUCAUAGGAAUAAUAAAAAAAAAAAUUUGGAUCCAUUUUCUCAUGAGCACUCCUCAUAUAUGAUAUAUGGACAUAUGCACAUACAGACAUACAACACAAAACACAAGUGUGCACACAUAAUACAAUACAUACAACACAUAACAUAAUAGUAAAGGCCUUAUAGCUUUUCACAGGUGAAAUCCCCAUUGCAAUGCUCAAAAACUCCACAGUCAAAAAAUAGAGCUGAUCAGAAAAACAUUAACUUAGGUCUAUAUGAGCUCAAAAAAAAACAAAAAAACAAAAAAAACAAAAUAGAACUUCAUGAUGUGGGAAAGGGCAAUAAAAAAAUAGAUAUUGAAAAAAGCAUCCUGGUUACCACCUGGGUUUGACUCUUCUUUUGAUAUCCCAUCCUUUUUUUUUCCUUUUUCUUUUUUUUUUCCUGUAACUUGCAUAUGGGUCUGAAUGUAUUCCUACAAGCAAGACCCAAGGUUUUUUUACAUUUGAAAUAGGCCUUAAUGGUGUUCAUUAUUCAUUAGCCUCCAGGUGUGGGAGAACCACUGUCACAGAUGUAAGGAUAGCCAAACUGGAGUUCUGGAUAUCAGCUGUUAUGGAUUGAUUGAGCCAAAUCAUCUUCUUUUUGGUCUGUAGAAAUCGCUUUAGUUAAUCUCUCUGGAAUCCAAAUCAGGUGCUGUUCUCCCUGUGGAAACACACAAACAGACCCCCGACUCCAGACAAUCACUGGGUCAGGACCUUUCCAUUGUCUUGUUAGAAUAUCCUUCCAAAGUACCUUGGGCUUAUGUACAUUUUUUGGACACAUAUGCCUAUCCGCAACAGUAAGCCCUGAUGAAUCCAAAUUUUAAAAGUUUAGAGUAAAAAGGGUUAUUUUAAGUUUAUCUUUGGGGGAUAUAUACCUCUUCCCAAUUCCCUCUUUUUGCUUUAAUAAGUACAUUUUAAUAGUUUGAUGAGCUCUUUCAACUAUACCUUGGCCCUGUGGAUUGUAUGGGAUUCCUGUUAUAUGAGUAGUGCCAAAUGAUGAGCAAAAUUGUUUAAAAGAGGUAGAAGUAUAGCCAGGGCCAUUAUCUGUCUUUAACUGUUAUGGAACACCCACAGUGGCAAAAUUUUGUAGGCAAUGAGCUAUAAUAUCUUUAGUUUGUUCUCCGGCAUGAAGGGAGCCUAUCAAAAAUCCGGAAGAAAUAUCAACUGUAACAUGCAAAUAUUUUAAUUUUCCAAAUUCUGGCAAUUGUGUGACGUCCAUCUGCCACAUAUGGUUAGGUAUCUGUUGAGAGCCACAGCAGAAGGGGCCCCAGCAAACUUCCAGCUGCCAGCAAACUUCCAGCUGCCGGCUGAUGAUUGGCUCACAGUGGCCCCAGCAACAUCUAGCUGAUUGGCUCCUCGGCCCCAGCAACAUCUAGCUGAUUGGCUCCUCUGUGGUGAUGCUCAUUGGGCUGUUUCCCUGCCCUUUCAGACCACGGAGCUGCUCAUUGGGGGACUUUUUUGGCUCCGCCCACGUGACCCAGCCAAUCGGCCUCAAGAGCAGGAGGAUUGUGGGAGGUGGAGAGAAGCUUGUGUGGGAGAGAGAGGCUUGUGGGAAGCCGGUGGUGGCAGUUGAGGCUCUGAGGGUUUUUCCUGAGAGGCUGUUUUGUUUGGCGUGUGUGGUUCUAAAAAUAAAGUUAGUUUCUUUUGACAAGUGGCUCCUGAUUGUGCCCAGCCAGACUGCAGCAGGUAUCAGUCCUCUAGGAUUGACUGCAAGAUUAACUUGUGGUAAAAAGGUCACACAAUUUUGACAUUGUUUUAUUAUUUGUCUAGCUUGUUCCUUAGUUAUUUUAAAAUGCUUUUGUAAAGUAUUAGCAUUGACAUGGAACUUUUUAUGAAAAUUUGUAGCUUCUUCUAGUGUAGAGAAAAUAUGUAUGUCAUGUGUAGUUUUAUCUGCUAAAUCAUUGCUCAAACUAAGGGCUCCAGGCAAUCCUGUAUGUGCCCUGAUAUGUCCUAUAAAGAAUGGUUCUUUUCUGUCCCAGAUUAGACUUUGUAUAGUGGAAAACAAAGAGAAAAUAGUAGAGGAAGGGGAAAUCCUACAGCAUCUUCAAGGGAUACUAUAGCAUUAACUAUAUACGGACUAUCAGAAAAUAAAUUAAAUACAGAAUCUUUAAACAUCACAAAAGCUUAUAAUACUGCAUUAAGGUCUACAUUUUAAGCUGAUUGUUUGGGUACUAAAAAUGUAAAAGUUUGAUCAGGGGUAACUACUGCUGCUGUACUUUUAUUUGACCCAUCAGUGAAUAUAUUUGGAGCAUUCACGAUAGGUGUUUUUCUUGUCAUUUUUGGAAAAACUACAGGAUGCUUAGACCAAAAAGACAACAAAGGAUUAGAUGGUAAGUGGUUAUCAAAUGAAACAUUAGAUUUGCACAUGAUUAUUGCCCAAGUAUUUAACUCAUUAGCUAACUCAUCAAUUUGAUCCAUUGUAUAUGGAGUAAUAAUUUUAUUAGGAUAAAUUCCAAACACUCCCUUUGCUGCUUUUAUUCCUUUGAGUAUUAAUU
Long non-coding RNA from Marmota monax (woodchuck), 4932 nucleotides. RefSeq lists it as uncharacterized. The record is from RefSeq and is a predicted model, not a curated record. Lineage: Eukaryota; Metazoa; Chordata; Mammalia; Rodentia; Sciuridae. The transcript has 3 exons.